This is a long non-coding RNA of Pangasianodon hypophthalmus (striped catfish), 626 nucleotides long. RefSeq lists it as uncharacterized. Lineage: Eukaryota; Metazoa; Chordata; Actinopteri; Siluriformes; Pangasiidae. The transcript has 3 exons. The record is from RefSeq and is a predicted model, not a curated record.
UGUAUGUUCUCCUGACAUCUGUAUGAUGGUCCUCUGGCUUCCUCUCACCUCCCAAAAACAUCCAGAUUUUUGUUAAAAACGUUAUCAACACUUUGUCCACCAGAACAGUGUACUUGGUGGUGUGAGGUUAGCUUCAAUUUCUAUCUGACGGGUAAUCAAUAAAAUCUUAAUCAAGAUAUCAGGAGGGUUGAGGUAAGUUGUGACGUCACAUCCUCUCUCAGCUCUAUAAGAAGAGAGGGUAUAGAAGACAGAUAUACAGCACUUGACCUACUGAAUUCUGAGAACUGAGCAAUCAUCAGCACCAUGAAGAUCUUCUUGCUGUUUGUUCUCACGAUCUUGGUGGUUACUGCAGCAUCUCAUGUACUGUCUUCAUCAGGCAAUUGUAAACUUCGGCAUGUGCUUUUAGCAGAAAUCAUAGAACAUGUGAAUGGCGUAAAAGUAAAGGAGUUAAAGGAGAGUUCUCAGAUUCUUGUUGAAAAUGUGAUAACUCCCAAACACUGUACUCAUGAAAACCUCUGCAAAGCAGGGGCAGUUCUGUCAGCAUAUAAAGCAGAAGAGCUCGGAUUAAAGGAAAAAGACUGGCUGCUGCCCAGGCAACUGGUAGCCUACACCAGGGUGAGUGACUG